UGAAAGCAGAACAUGGUGGUGUUCCAGAAGCCAAGAGAAGGGUGUGCUGAAAAAGAGCUGGCCAAAUGCCACCGAGUUAGAAGCCGGACAUGUCACAGUAGAAACAAUUAUUCAGAGAGUGGCCACUUAGGGGCUCCUCUGGAGGUAUAACACGAUUCCUGACCCACUAACAGCCUUUGCUGUUCAGAGUACUCAUAGGAGACCACUAAGUUUGGAUGCGUUUUCAGCUGUAACUGAACCAACCAGCUUAUCAGCUUCCAGCAUUUCCCUGCAGCAAUGGACAACUGUCUGGUAUAGGAAGCAACAGAAGGAAGACUCACUGCUCAAGUUUUCCCGACGUUUGCUCAGUUCGAGGCCAUCACCACUGCAUUUGGAGCAAGCAAGGCAUCUCAAAAGUUCAGGACUCCUUUGUUGUGAGGGAUAGACAGCAGGAGACGACCACAUGCUGCUUCCCUGACAUAAAGUGAUUUGGGGACUUCUUGGAUGUUGCGUAUUGCAUUGAUGGCUUCACUUUAAGAAAACUCAAUAAUGAAAAAAAUAAAUGGAAAUCUAAAUUCUUGA
This is a long non-coding RNA of Peromyscus maniculatus bairdii (prairie deer mouse), 561 nucleotides long. RefSeq lists it as uncharacterized. NCBI's taxonomy places the organism in Eukaryota, Metazoa, Chordata, Mammalia, Rodentia, Cricetidae. The record is from RefSeq and is a predicted model, not a curated record.